Molecule: long non-coding RNA, 360 nt
Organism: Carassius auratus (goldfish)
Lineage: Eukaryota; Metazoa; Chordata; Actinopteri; Cypriniformes; Cyprinidae
Exons: 3
Source: RefSeq, a predicted model, not a curated record
GGAUUUACCAUCUAUAAACCCCUGUUUUGUGUGUUUGGGUGAAGAAACGCAUUUCUGAAACGCAGCAUGAUGAAGAUGUUGAAAAGAGACCAGCCCUGUGGAACAACAUAGAGAAGUUGUAAUUAUAUGCUUAAUUGUCUGCCUCUCUGAGAAUCUUAUCAAGCACCAUCAGAUACUCAUGGGAAUAAGGAGGAACUGGAACUGCUCACACUUCACAAUCAUCACGAAAGGUGGCUCAACAGAUUAUCCAUUACACAGACUGGGAAAGUGCUGGAAGGCAUAGAAGUGAUGACGGGAUUGGCAGGUGUUGCAAAAUCUUGUGUUUUUCUGCUUGGCCUAAUUUAUGUAAUUAAAAUGAGU